RNAcentral lists this non-coding RNA (173 nucleotides) under human gut metagenome. RNAcentral's name for it is "Lysine riboswitch". It matches the Rfam family "Lysine riboswitch aptamer". Rfam says of the family: Riboswitches are metabolite binding domains within certain messenger RNAs that serve as precision sensors for their corresponding targets. Allosteric rearrangement of mRNA structure is mediated by ligand binding, and this results in modulation of gene expression. The record is from RNAcentral.
UGAUAGAGGCGCGGAAUUCAUCAGUCCUCCAGCCGAGAGCACCGAGCUCAACGAAGCCGGACAAAAGGGAAUUCCGCCGAAGGAGCCGCUCUCCGGUGGGAAAGGCUGCCUGGGCGCAGGUGCGAACAGCCCUGUGACUGUCAUCAGGAUCACUUAUCUGAUGUUGAGCUGUC